This 454-nucleotide ribosomal RNA is filed under the name uncultured bacterium. Its description in RNAcentral is "partial 16S ribosomal RNA". It matches the Rfam family "Bacterial small subunit ribosomal RNA", at positions 28 to 507 of the family's 1533-position model. The record is from RNAcentral.
GAUGAACGCUGACAGAAUGCUUAACACAUGCAAGUCAACUUGAACUUCGUGUGUGGUGGCGGACGGGUGAGUAACGCUGAUAGAACUUGCCUCACUGAUAGGGACAACAUGUGUAAACGAAUGCGUAUACCUGAUAUUAUGAUUAUAUGGCAUCGGUGUAGUGUGAAAGCUAUAUGCGCUGUGAGAGUGCUUUGCGUCCCAUUAGCUAGUUGGAGAGGUAACGGCUCACCAAGGCGAUGAUGGGUAGCCGGCCUGAGAGGGUGAUCGGCCACAAGGGGACUGAGACACAGCCCUUACUCACACGGGAGGCAGCAGUGGGGAAUAUUGGACAAUGGACCAAGAGUCAGAUCCAGCAAUUCUGUGUGCACGAUGAAGUUUUUCGGAAUGUCAAAAAAUUUCAGUUGGGAAGAAAAAAAUGACGGUACCAACAGAAGAAGUGACGGCUAAAUACGUG